AAACUUUACAUUCCUACCAUUUUCCAACGCAUACCCUUUAACAACAUCUAUAAUAUCUUGCUUAUUUGCAAAAAAAGUCCCUACUUCCCAUGUAAAGUCCACCAUACUUUUUGGCAUACAAAAAGUACUAAACCUCCCAUGACCUUCAGUGUCAUUAACCUCUUCAUCACUAUCUGUUGCAGUAAGUAAUUCCUCAGAUUUCCACUCCUCAUCUGACAAACCUCUCUCAUCAUGAUCAUCACUUUCAACACUCACAUCAUCACUGGCUUU
Molecule: long non-coding RNA, 270 nt
Filed under: Vigna radiata
Lineage: Eukaryota; Viridiplantae; Streptophyta; Magnoliopsida; Fabales; Fabaceae
Description: long non-coding RNA (VRAD_LNC011733)
Source: RNAcentral